This 307-nucleotide ribosomal RNA is filed under the name uncultured eukaryote. RNAcentral describes it as "partial 18S ribosomal RNA". It matches the Rfam family "Eukaryotic small subunit ribosomal RNA", at positions 592 to 976 of the family's 1831-position model. The record is from RNAcentral.
CAAUAGCAUAUAUUAAAGUUGUUGCAGUUAAAAAGCUCGUAGUUGGAUUUCAAGAGUCGCAUCCGGACACCCGGUAUGCCCUCUACGGUCUUCUGACUGUUACUGUGAGAAAAUUAGAGUGUUUAAAGCAGGCUAUUGCAGGAAUAUAUUAGCAUGGAAUAACGAAUGUACUUACAAUUUGGUUAAUUGUAGGUUUCGAUUAAUAGGGACAGUUGGGGGCAUUAGUAUUUAAUUGUCAGAGGUGAAAUUCUUGGAUUAGUUAAAGACUAACGUAUGCGAAAGCAUUUGCCAAAGAUGUUUNCAUUAA